CUUUAGUGUUCCAUGGCUGAGUCCGAGUGCACUGCAAGCAAUGCCUAUUUUUUUUUUUUUUUCACAGAUUCAUCAUUUGUUGGCAGCCCUUGGUGGGAAGAGGAUGGCUUGGGCUCUGAGAGUCAAAGAAGUGGAGAUGGGGCCUGUGCUUCUCCUUGUCCUGCUCCUGCUUCUCCAGCACCAGGGACCAGUCUUCCUCCUUCACCAGCUGGACACUCACCAGAUGCUGGGUUCAUCAUUUGUUGGCAGCCCUUGGUGGGAAGAGGAUGGCUUGGGCUGUGAGAGGCAAAGAAGUGGAGAUGGGGCCUGUGGUUCUGCUGUUUCUCAUUCUCUUUGUCAUAUCUGCCUGAUUAUCAUAGUCAACAUGUGGGAUAUGCUGUUUUAAAAGUUGCCAUUCAAAAAUUUGAAAUUUAUGAUACUUCCUUCCUCCAGAAUCACUCCAAUUUGCUUGCAUCACACUUGGAAGUGACAAAUCCAGAAUUGCUUGUUUCCAUUUCAGGAUUAAGAUAUUUUGGGCUAUGCAGAAGCCUUGAGGCUGGACUGCAGUGGGUCUGAAAACUGGUUUCCUCCAGGUCACCCUUCCUCUGAGGGUCCAGUCCUUCAGGAUCACUCCCCAAAGGGCAGGGAAUUUAUCAAGGUCCCUGCUUUUGGUAGGGCCUGGACUUCAAUAUCUUCUUGCUUUGCCCCAGGAAGCUGUCAAAACCUGCAUGAGUCACUGGGGGGGAGGGCAUAUCACUCUAUCACAACUAGGAAGCUAUCAAGUUAGGGUAGGGAACCACCAUAGUCCUUAAAUUACUACAAUAGCCACAGUGACAUUGCUGGCCGUGGAAACGCACUGUGCUUAUAAAAGUCUGUACUCUAAGAAUGGAUGCCAUAGGCCCUGCCCUCAGCCUUUCCAGUGACGACAGCCCAGGACCUCUGUUAAUGGUACAGCAAGGAAACCACAUGUCUUCACAACCAGUGUGGCAGCAGGAGCAACAGAUGCCUGGCCUCUGCUCCAGUUCUGCCACAUUUCACUGACAAAAUCUAAAGCACUCCAGGAGUUAGGUUGCAAAGRAGUCUGGGAAAUGUAGCAUUUAGCUUUUGUGAUUUCUGUGGUAUAGAAGGUAAGAAAAAAGAAGAAACAAUGGGUGUCCUGCUCCUGUUCCCCCUGUCCACCGUGCAGUUGAAAUGCAAUUUAGUUACAGUUUGAAAACCUGUAAAAAUAAUGCUAUAUAUUGCAUAUUGAUUUUUGAUAUAUACCUAGGUACAGUAUAUCCAUACACCUUUACCUGUAUAUCUCCAUACUCAGUUACCAUCAAGGCAGCAAGAUCAGUAAUGAUUUGAAGCAUGGGUUUCAGAUUCAGCCUUGUGUCCAAAUCUGUAUUUGUGUGUGAUAUGGGUACCUAUGUUUCCUCAAACUCUCUCCCAGAUAUUUUAUUUCCCUAUCUCUAAAGUAGGUGGAAAGACAGUCUACCUUGAAAUAGUGUUGUUAGGCUCAAUUAAAGUAAUACAUGCAGUCGUCUAAGUAUAGUGCCUAGCUCAUGAUUCCAUGAAGUAAACUGCAGUUCUUUUUGUUAUGAGUAGCAGAAGAUCAAGGUGGUAAAAUGAACUGAUAUCAUCUUGACAAGUCACUUAAUUUUCUUUAGGUCAUAAUGUCUUGGUCUUUCAGAUAAGAAAUUGUCCUCAACAAUCUAUAGCAUGAAUGUCUGAGCCAACAAUCUCCAAAUCCUUUCAUGGAGAAAGUGAGAACUAGAAGAAGUUACUUACUCAGCAUUGUAUGGUCAGCAGGAGGAGUGCCUGAGCACUGAUCUGAUGCCACAAAUGGAGAAUUCCACACCUGGCCUCCCAUGAUGGGUUGCACCACUAUAAAGACUCAUUAAAAAUAUUUAAUAAAAUUAUCCUUAGGGCAUGCA
Molecule: long non-coding RNA, 1895 nt
Organism: Urocitellus parryii (Arctic ground squirrel)
Lineage: Eukaryota; Metazoa; Chordata; Mammalia; Rodentia; Sciuridae
Source: Ensembl